This 1074-nucleotide long non-coding RNA is filed under the name Homo sapiens (human). RNAcentral's name for it is "HSALNT0298886". Lineage: Eukaryota; Metazoa; Chordata; Mammalia; Primates; Hominidae. The record is from RNAcentral.
CAUUCUGUGUUUGUCCUGAUUGGCUGGCAACUUAGAACUUUUUAAAAGAGGCAAAGGCAGAGGAGAACAAAAGAAGGAGGAAGUAACUUGCAGAAUGCUGAGAAAGAGCUGAGAUCUAACUGUGCUACCCAGCCUGGAGUCCAGUGGCUUUUCACAGGUGCAAGCAUGGCACACUACAGCCUCCUGGACUCAAGAGAUCCUCCGAACUCAGCCUCCUGAGUAGCUUGGACUCCAGGCAUACACCACUGCUCCCAGAAGAUUCUGUUAAUCCUUCAUCCGGGUCACCGCUAUCUGACCCAGCCCCCUGCUGCUGCCGUGCACAGACAGCACAUUCACUGCUGGAGGCUACUGUAAGAGAUGAAAUGGCUGGAAGUCCAGCAGGCAACCUGGGCCAUCAUGUUACCUUAAGAAGGGAUGCCCCACACUGAGAUGGUGGAGCCAAAGGUGGAAGGCACCUGAUGUCCAGGAGGGAUGAAGGCAACUCUGUCAGCCCCAGCAGUGGAGGCAACAAAAAAAUGGCUUGGGAGUUGGAGCCAGAUAUAAAAGCUGCAGACACGGGCCCAACAGUCAGAGGGGUGGCAAACAACAGAUGAAAUGGAUCAGGGAAGAACAGAGGCCCUGGAAGGAAAACACACUUCAAACACCAAGAGGUGGGAGAGUGUUACUAUGGCAAUGCAGGGCUUGGGGCUGGAGCGGCAGAGGGGCUGCUGAGAGCCAGUGAUGAAAACAAAACACAAAGGGAGGAGAUGCCCAAUCUGGAGCUCUGCCAGAGCAGGGUGGGCACCAACUCUCUCUCCUCAUCCCUGGCUUGCCGGCCGCUCCAGCCCCUCCAACUCCCAACGAUAGAAUGCAACUCUCAAAGCCACAGCAGAGCACAGAACAGCCCUGACCUGGCCUCCCCAGCCCUUUCAGCAAGUACAGCCCUGGCUUUCAUUUAUCUGGGAAGGAAAAUCGUGCUCUCCUGCCUGCCUCUAGGACUUAGCUUCUUCCGAGCCCACCAUUUGGAAUUGUGUUUCCCUCCUCUGCUGCAGCAUUGAGAAGAGACAUUAUCUUCUUCCUUCCUUCUUUUUUACU